Molecule: ribosomal RNA, 465 nt
Filed under: uncultured bacterium
Lineage: Bacteria
Description: partial 16S ribosomal RNA
Rfam family: Bacterial small subunit ribosomal RNA
Source: RNAcentral
CCUACGGGAGGCAGCAGUAGGGAAUCUUCCACAAUGGCCGAAAGCCUGAUGGAGCAACGCCGCGUGGGUGAAGAAGGUCUUCGGAUCGUAAAACCCUUUUGUUAGAGAAGAAAGUGCGUGAGAGUAUCUGUUCACGUUUCGACGGUAUCUAACCAGAACGCCACGGCUCAAUACGUGCCAGCAGCCGCGGUAAUACGUAGGUGGCAAGCGUUAUCCGGAUUUAUUGGGCGUAAAGGGAACGCAGGCGGUCUUUUAAGUCUGAUGUGAAAGCCUUCGGCUUAACCGGAGUAGUGCAUUGGAAACUGGGAGACGUGAGUGCAGAAGAGGAGAGUGGAACUCGAUGUGUAGCGGUGAAAUGCGUAGAUAUAUGGAAGAACACCAGUGGCGAAAGCAGCUCUCUGGUCUGUAACUGACGCUGAGGUUCGAAAGCGUGGGAAGCAAACAGGAUUAGAUACCCGUGUAGUC